Molecule: ribosomal RNA, 494 nt
Filed under: uncultured bacterium
Lineage: Bacteria
Description: partial 16S ribosomal RNA
Rfam family: Bacterial small subunit ribosomal RNA
Source: RNAcentral
GACGAACGCUGGCGGCGUGCUUAACACAUGCAAGUCGAACGGAAAGGCCUGCUUUCCCUUGUGGAUUGCGGGUACUCGAGUGGCGAACGGGUGAGUAACACGUGAGUGAUCUGCCCCCAACUUGGGUAUAAGCCUGGGAAACUGGGUCUAAUUCCCGAUAGGACUGCAGGGUGGUGCCUGUGGUGGAAAACGAUUUUCUAGUGGUUGGGGAUGAGCUCGCGGCCUAUCAGCUUGUUGGUGGGGUAAUGGCCUACCAAGGCGGCGACGGGUAGCCGGCCUGAGAGGGUGGACGGCGACAGUGGGACUGAGAUACGGCCCAGACUCCUACGGGAGGCAGCAGUGGGGAAUAUUGCACAAUGGGCGGAAGCCUGAUGCAGCGACGCCGCGUGGGGGAUGACGGCCUUCGGGUUGUAAACUCCUUUCGGCCGCGAGGAAGCCACCUGGUUGGAAGGGUGGUGACGGUAGUGGUAGAAGAAGCACCGGCUAACUACGUG